Molecule: long non-coding RNA, 788 nt
Filed under: Salmo salar (Atlantic salmon)
Lineage: Eukaryota; Metazoa; Chordata; Actinopteri; Salmoniformes; Salmonidae
Description: lncRNA (ENSSSAG00000101236.1, ENSSSAG00000105574.1)
Source: RNAcentral
GACAUAGAGAGGUGUUGUGGUGUGUUGGGAGACAGGGAGAGGUGUUGGGAGACAAAGAGAGGUGUUAUGGUGUGUUGAGAGACAGAUAGAGGUGUUGUGGUUUGUUGGGAGACAGAGAGAGGUGUUGUGGUGUGUUGAGAGACAGGGAGAGGUGUUGUGGUGUGUUUGGAGACAGAGAGGUGUUGUGGUGUGUUGGGAGACAGGGAGAGGUGUUUGGAGACAAUGAGAGGUGUUAUGAUGUGUUGGGAGACAGGGAGAGGUGUUGUGGUGUGUUUUGAGAGAGAGAGGUUUGUUGUGGUGUGUUUUGAGACAGAGAGGUUUGUUGUGGUGUCUUGGGAGACAGAGAGGUUUUUUGGGUGUUUGAAGACAUAGAGAGGUGUUGUGGUGUGUUUGGAGACAGAGAGGUGUUGUGGUGUGUUGGGAGACAGGGAGAGGUGUUGGGAGACAGAGAGAGGUGUUGUGAUGUGUUGAGAUACAGAGAGAAGUGUCUUGGUGUGUUGGGAGACAGAGAGAGGUAUUGUGGUGUGUUGGGAGACAGAGAGAUUUGUUGUGGUGUGUUGGGAGACAGAGAGUGGUGUUGUGAUGUGUUUGGUGACAAAUAAGUAUUGUGAUGUGUUGAGAUACAGAGAGAAGUGUUGGGGUGUGUUGGGAGACAGAGAGAGGUGUUGUGGUGUGUUGGGAGACAGAGAGAGGUGUUGUGGUAUAUUGGGAGACAGAGAGAUGUUUUGGUGUGUUUUGAUAUGGAGAGAGGUGUUGGGAGACUGGGAGAGGUGUUGGGAGACAGAGAG